This 460-nucleotide ribosomal RNA is filed under the name uncultured bacterium. RNAcentral describes it as "partial 16S ribosomal RNA". It matches the Rfam family "Bacterial small subunit ribosomal RNA", at positions 338 to 795 of the family's 1533-position model. The record is from RNAcentral.
CCUACGGGAGGCUGCAGUGAGGAAUAUUGGUCAAUGGACGCAAGUCUGAAUCAGCCAUGCCGCGUGCAGGAAGACGGCUCUAUGAGUUGUAAACUGCUUUUGUACGAGGGUAAACGCAGAUACGCGUAUCUGUCUGAAAGUAUCGUACGACUAAGGAUCGGCUAACUCGGUGCAAGCAGCCGCGUAAUUACGGAGACUUAAAGCGUUACCCGUAUUUAUUGGGUUUAACGGGUGCGUAGGCGGUCGGAUAAGUUAGAGGUGAAGUCCGGAGGCUCAACUUCGGAAUUGCCUCUGAUACUGUUCGGCGAGAGAGUAGUUGCGGUAGGCGGAAUGUAUGGUGUAGCGGUGAAAUGCUUAGAGAUCAUACAGAACACCGAUUGCGAAGGCAGCUUACCAAGCUACUUCUGACGUUGAGGCACGAAAGCGUGGGGAGCAAACAGGAUUAGAUACCCUUGUAGUC